RNAcentral lists this ribosomal RNA (337 nucleotides) under uncultured bacterium. RNAcentral describes it as "bacterial SSU rRNA". It matches the Rfam family "Bacterial small subunit ribosomal RNA", at positions 28 to 366 of the family's 1533-position model. The record is from RNAcentral.
GACGAACGCUGGCGGCGUGCUUAACACAUGCAAGUCGAGCGGUAAGGCCCUUUCGGGGGUACACGAGCGGCGAACGGGUGAGUAACACGUGGGUGACCUGCCCUUAGCUCUGGGAUAAGCCUGGGAAACUGGGUCUAAUACCGGAUAUGACUCCAUGACGCAUGUUGUGGGGUGGAAAGCCUUGUGCGGCUAGGGAUGGGCCCGCGGCCUAUCAGCUUGUUGGUGGGGUGANGGCCUACCAAGGCGACGACGGGUAGCCGGCCUGAGAGGGCGACCGGCCACACUGGGACUGAGACACGGCCCAGACUCCUACGGGAGGCAGCAGUGGGGAAUCUUG